GAAGAGGGGAGCACAUUGUGCCCACUGCCCUGGGGCUGGGGGCGAGUGUCCCUGUGUGCAAACUGUGUACCCUGGCUUUGCAGGUCCCAGCCAGCCAAGCGGGUCCUUCCUGGUGUGGGCAGCCCAGGCCAGUCUGGGACAGGCUGCCUUCUCCUACAGUCCUGGGCACCACAGUGGGGCCACUUGUUGGCUGGGCUUCCAGAACCUUCCAUGUCUUUUUGUGCCAGAGGAACGGGCUCCUCGGGACUCACCUUCCACCCAAUCCUGAUGAGGCCACAGAACCAAUCUCCCAUAAUGUAUCACAGGAAUCUGAGGAUGCAAACAUGCCUCUAUAGGGUCCUGUGAGGAUGCCAGUCCCCAAGCUUCAGUGGUUUGCCAAGCACUAGGAACACGCUGGGGGCACCCACUGUAUCCAGACACGGGGGAUCGCCCCCCGACUUGUCCCCCAUCAUAGAUCCUGCUGAGACCUGGCCUCUGGUGUGUUGCUGGUUUUUAUUCCCGUUCUGGAAUUUUAUCUUUUCUGUGGAGCUUUAUCUUACGCUUCUUGAUUAGGCUUCUCUUGAAGGCAGGCCUCU
This is a long non-coding RNA of Zalophus californianus (California sea lion), 575 nucleotides long. RefSeq lists it as uncharacterized. Lineage: Eukaryota; Metazoa; Chordata; Mammalia; Carnivora; Otariidae. The record is from RefSeq and is a predicted model, not a curated record. The transcript has 3 exons.